Molecule: small nucleolar RNA, 104 nt
Organism: Pistacia vera
Lineage: Eukaryota; Viridiplantae; Streptophyta; Magnoliopsida; Sapindales; Anacardiaceae
Source: RefSeq, a predicted model, not a curated record
AUGAGAUGUGGGCAUUUCCUCAACAACUCUCUGUAAUGCUCCCAUGCUUCGUAUAAUGACUCUCCAUCUACCUGCAUAAGAUUAGUGAUAUCAUUACACAUCCU